RNAcentral lists this non-coding RNA (22 nucleotides) under Equus caballus (horse). Its record names the gene eca-miR-185. The record is from miRBase by way of RNAcentral. RNAcentral also lists the same sequence under 1 other name. Lineage: Eukaryota; Metazoa; Chordata; Mammalia; Perissodactyla; Equidae.
CAGGGGCUGGCUUUCCUCUGGU